CUGUUGAAGAUAGCCAUGCACGUCUAAGUACAAACUAAAUGAUGGUGAAACUGCAAAUGGCUCAUUACAACGGUUAUGAUGUACCCGGGAGUUCCGAUGGAUAUUUCCAGUAACACUAGAACUAAUACAUGUCCCUGCGUUUAUUAGUUUCGCACAGUCCGUCGCUGAGUCAUGGUAAACAGUUGAUCGACUCGACGUCCCGGAACAGUUUCCGCCCCAUCAGCUUCGAUGGUUGGGUAUUGGCCUACCAUUGCAACAACGGGUAACGAGGAAUUAGGGUUUGAUUUCGGAGAGGGAGCCUGAGAAACGGCUACCACAUCUACGGAUGGCAGCAGGCGCGCAAAUUACCCAAUGCAGACACUGUGAGGUAGUGACGAGAAAUAAUAAAGCGGGACUUCUGUUUCGCUAUUAUAAUGAGGAAUAACCAAAGGUCAUUCCGAUUAGCAACUGAUGGGAAAGUCUGGUGCCAGCAGCCGCGGUAAUACCAGCGUCAGUAGCAU
This 500-nucleotide ribosomal RNA is filed under the name uncultured Myrionecta. RNAcentral describes it as "SSU rRNA". It matches the Rfam family "Eukaryotic small subunit ribosomal RNA", at positions 34 to 600 of the family's 1831-position model. Lineage: Eukaryota; Ciliophora; Litostomatea; Cyclotrichida; Mesodiniidae. The record is from RNAcentral.